GUUUAAAGUUCUUCAAAAUAAGAAUAAAGGAUUGAUCUCCAUAUAUGAGGAUUAGCAGAGGGUAUAUGACAAAACAUAAACAAGUUCAAGUUGAACAAUCUCUUGAAUAGAGAUUCAAGAAAAAAAAUGACCCAAUGACAAUUCAGAAAGUCAUCAACAGCACGAAAUCUAGCGGCAUUAAGAUUGUUGAAGGUUGAAGCAAGAGAAAAGACAGAAACACAAUUUAAGACGAGAUUGGAUCUCUAUCAUCAAAACUGGAUAGAACUAGACAAAUCUGAAGAACAUCAGGUAGUGUAAUUUAUAUACAAGUUACUAAUGUUAUGUAUAUAGUGGGUUGUGUAUUAAAGUAAUAUAUACAAAGUAUUAUGAGACAA
This is a long non-coding RNA of Solanum pennellii, 374 nucleotides long. RefSeq lists it as uncharacterized. The transcript has 2 exons. NCBI's taxonomy places the organism in Eukaryota, Viridiplantae, Streptophyta, Magnoliopsida, Solanales, Solanaceae. The record is from RefSeq and is a predicted model, not a curated record.